UCACAUUCAUCGCAAGUUUAUAUGACACAAGGACAGCAUGUCUCAUUUGAUACCACUCUACUCUAACAGGAGAUUUGGAACGUUGGUUUCAAUCCUACGUCAUGCAGUCUGUCAUCUGGAUCAGAAGGCGGGAGCCAUGGAAGAGCAAGAGGAGCUUCUGGUGCAGCAUGCACUUUCCUAUAUGUAAAUAUUCCCUUCCCUUGUAAAUAUCACCUCUCCUAACAACAUCCUCCACAUAUUUACUGUAAAAGUGUUGUUUAAUAAAAUAUUUUUUGCAAGAGAUCCAAGUAUGUUGUUUGUUUCUUUGUUGACAUAAAGCAAAAGUUGGAAGUGUGGCAUUAAGGUUUCAAGGGACAUUGCAGGUAAAUGAGGUAUGGAUUGCCAACUAGAAAGGGUCCUCUGGAGAAGAGGAAAGCAUAAAACAUUGCUGCUGUGUGACUCUGGCUGUGUGCACGGGUCUCUCAUCUAAUACUAUAUCAUGGUGAGAGUUGGGAUACUUGGGGGUUUUGGGUAGCCUCUCCAAGCAUCUGAGAUUCAGCUCCACUGUGGGCAUGGAGAGUUGGACACCUCCUCCUGGGUCUGGGGGGUGAGCGGUUGAAGAAUGCUAUUGGAGUGCAUUCCUAGCUGUCUUGUCUUUGUGGCUGCCCCCUGAUCCUGGGACACUGCACGGUUUGCAGGGAUAUGUCCAUUGACAGUGGCACCACCCACCACAUCUGAAAAUGUGUUUGAGGUGCUCCACCAGUCAGACUAGCAGCCCUCUCUUUGCCUUGAUGAUGUCAUUGAGUUGGCCCUGAUAGCUACAUUAUUGCUAUCACUGACUCUGUCUAAACUCUGCAUCCUUCUCCCUGAAUGCCGUCUCCUCCCUGAACUCCUGUAGAUGUGGAUCAUCUCCAAUGCUUCAUCAACUCCCUUGUGUUUGUGGCAGAGUACAGGAGGAUGCUAUCUGUGGCACUGGCCAUGGUUGCAGUAAUGGUACUCUCUCUCUUCCAGCAGUGCUUGGCC
RNAcentral lists this long non-coding RNA (1002 nucleotides) under Anolis carolinensis (green anole). RNAcentral describes it as "lncRNA (ENSACAG00000043521.1)". The record is from RNAcentral. Lineage: Eukaryota; Metazoa; Chordata; Lepidosauria; Squamata; Anolidae.